This is a long non-coding RNA of Chiroxiphia lanceolata (lance-tailed manakin), 556 nucleotides long. RefSeq lists it as uncharacterized. The transcript has 3 exons. The record is from RefSeq and is a predicted model, not a curated record. Lineage: Eukaryota; Metazoa; Chordata; Aves; Passeriformes; Pipridae.
CAACUCUAUAAGGCUUUCUUUGAGAAGGAGGUGGAAGAUGGCAUUUGUAUACACAAAUACAUCCAUACACUUACUCAAGCUAACACAAUAUGUUAGCACUCUUUUGUGCUGUAAGCCUAGUAGGCACACUAUCAUGAUAGCUGGAGAUGAAAUUUUUUGGUAAGAACGUGCCUAUUCACUCCUCACAUCAUGAUUUCCAGAUUCCCCCUCAGAUUUACACUGCAGCUCUGAAGCUCUUCAGUGAAAUAUGCUUAAAGUCUUGCUCAUACCUCCCUGGAGCUACACACUGGAGAGCACAGCCGUGUGUGCUGCACAGCUUGGGUACCAGAGCAGAUGCUUCAGCACUGACUGUUCAUGUGGAAGACAGAAUACGGCAGCUGAUGCAUUUAUCUCCUCUAUUUUGUGCGACUCAGGCACAAAGGGGUUUUCUCACCAAACUGAUCACAGGAUGACAGUAUGAAAAACAAAGUAUGCUUUUGCACUGUCUCCACUGCUGAAGAUAAAUUGUAAAAAUCAUUCUCGUGUUGCAGGAUUUUUACCCCCAAAUGUCAUUUUC